This 200-nucleotide ribosomal RNA is filed under the name uncultured Burkholderia sp. RNAcentral describes it as "partial 16S ribosomal RNA". It matches the Rfam family "Bacterial small subunit ribosomal RNA", at positions 552 to 752 of the family's 1533-position model. The record is from RNAcentral. Lineage: Bacteria; Pseudomonadati; Pseudomonadota; Betaproteobacteria; Burkholderiales; Burkholderiaceae.
UACUGGGCGUAAAGCGUGCGCAGGCGGUUUGUUAAGACCGAUGUGAAAUCCCCGGGCUCAACCUGGGAACUGCAUUGGUGACUGGCAAGCUAGAGUAUGGCAGAGGGGGGUAGAAUUCCACGUGUAGCAGUGAAAUGCGUAGAGAUGUGGAGGAAUACCGAUGGCGAAGGCAGCCCCCUGGGCCAAUAUUCGGCCAUAGU